UGGCGGCUUCCGCAGGUAGGCGCGGCCCGGGGCUCGGGCUGAGGCUGCGGUGCGCGUCGCGUUGUAGUAACAUCUCCUCCUCACUCCGCAGGCGGGCGGUGAGCGCCCCGCUGCCGGCCCCCGGCGUGACACCGCCUGUGCUGCGCCUCCAGCGCCGCGCCUGAUCUGCCUCAGUGCAGGUGGUGCCACGACGGCGCCUUGCACGUUGUUAUAAAAAGCGCGUUGGCAACUUGAAGCUUUCCAGGAUAGUUGAGGUAAUCGCUUCUUCGGAGUUGUUUGUGCGCUGUGAGGAGCGUGGGAACGCACCAGAAGCUCGCUUGGCAGGGAGUGUGGAUAAUUAAUGUGUCUGAUCAUCCACCAAGCGUCUGAUCACUUAGGAAAAUGACUGCGGUGCCAGUCUUUAACAUACCCGAUGAGAUUUUUCAACAAGGUUUACUGGCACGUAAGCUCUUUAACAGUCAUCCACUGAUUAGCAGCGCCAGUGUUGCCUGUAUGUCCAGUGAAGGCAGAUGGGAGUGAAAUGCUGUGUGAAAUGAUUAAACCGACACCUCUCUCCCCUUAGUCCCAUCACGGCUGUGCCAGGUGACUGAGGAGCACUGCAGCAGAUGCCGUGUCAUUAACCAACAGAUGGACAGCUCUGGAGUUAAAUACUAAAUUACUGCGAGUUGUGGAGUCAUAAAGACCCUCCACAAUGAGGGAAAGAAGCAGAAAGCAGAUCAUUUCCCUCAAUAAUCCCUUACAGGAUUUUCCAUUUGUUAAUGUUUGAUGGUGCAGAGCUGUUGCAUAUUAGUAAAUCUGAUGGAGGCCUUUGAGCCAUUGGA
Molecule: non-coding RNA, 821 nt
Organism: Meleagris gallopavo (turkey)
Lineage: Eukaryota; Metazoa; Chordata; Aves; Galliformes; Phasianidae
Source: RefSeq, a predicted model, not a curated record